Long non-coding RNA from Engraulis encrasicolus (European anchovy), 959 nucleotides. RefSeq lists it as uncharacterized. The record is from RefSeq and is a predicted model, not a curated record. The transcript has 3 exons. NCBI's taxonomy places the organism in Eukaryota, Metazoa, Chordata, Actinopteri, Clupeiformes, Engraulidae.
AAAACGGUUCCUGUGAGCUAUAUUUUUGAAAAUACACAGCCCGCCUCUCCCUUCAGCCCUCCCCUCAAAGCCACGCCUUCAAAACACAUGAACGCGCAUGCAGUCUGUCAAGUGUUCGGAUUAUCCCGGGAACCCACGAGAGCUCACGAGGGGGCGGGCUAGAAGCCACGACAAAUCGAUUAGCCAAGCUAACUUCCAGCCAUGGCACUGUCUCCGGCUACGACCUUCCACGACCACGAGAGCUCCAGCUCUGACUUUCCUGGCCCAUCACAAUCAUAACGACCUAACAGCCCAGUAGGACCGAUGGCCAGAGAUGGAGGAGGAGGAAGAUAGACGCAGCAGAGGUCGGGGGUAUUGAUUAGGGAGACUCCAACAGAAUUGACGCCCUGCUAACUGCCUUGAUUCAAUCAUUGAAUUUGAAGCAAUCCCAUCGGUUACUGCAGCGUGCCCUGACCCGUGACCCCAGUUUGAUGUUCGACCUGGCACAUGACAUCUGGUCCUCAGUCACAGCCCAGUAGCACAACCAACCUGGCGCCUCUGCGCAAUCUGUAAGGAGAUGCCCAUGAACAUUGAAAGGAAAUGCUGUGGUGUUCUCAGUUUUGAUAAGACUUUGGGCUGAUGUAGGACCAGGUGAGAGAAACGGUCUCUUCAGGCAUGCAGCCUACAGACAGUAUGGGGCACUUGAACAGGGCUGACGUUGUAAUACACAGUACAAUACCCAGGAUUAGCCAGGGUUACCCUGCUCCACUAGAGCAAUAUAAAAAGGUUUAUACAGAGUACGGUAUAAAACACACAAACCGGCAGUGUGCAGAGUUUUAUUAUUUUUCAUUAUCUGUAGGAGCAUUCAUCUGUACAUCUCACCUUUUUGGUUUGGAACCAUAUUUGUCUUGUUACCAUUGUUUUUUUCAUACAUAGAAAAUAAAUGCAACCUGUCAAAUAAUCUUCUGAUUGUGGUCUUG